Molecule: ribosomal RNA, 291 nt
Filed under: Fuligo leviderma
Lineage: Eukaryota; Evosea; Eumycetozoa; Physariida; Physaraceae
Description: partial small subunit ribosomal RNA
Rfam family: Bacterial small subunit ribosomal RNA
Source: RNAcentral
GCGAUAGUUAAAUACUGUAAAGACUGAGGAUGACCCUCUUAAUGCUGUGUUCACUAAUUAUCUUGAGUUUCGAAGGCGGUUUAUUGAAUUCUCGAAGGAAGGGUGAAAUUGUUGAUAUUGGAAGACAUUCGAUAGCGAAAGCAAUAACCGAUUCGGAUCUGACGCUAGGUACUAAAGUAUGGGGAUAAAUAGGAUUAGAGACCUAGUAGUCCAUACCUUAAACAAUGAGUAUUCAACAUCUUUUAGCAUGAAUAUGCUAUCUGGGGUUUGAAGUUACGUCGCGAAACACUA